This 497-nucleotide ribosomal RNA is filed under the name uncultured bacterium. Its description in RNAcentral is "partial 16S ribosomal RNA". It matches the Rfam family "Bacterial small subunit ribosomal RNA", at positions 28 to 507 of the family's 1533-position model. The record is from RNAcentral.
GAUGAACGCUGGCGGCGUACCUAAUACAUGCAAGUCGAGCGAACGGACGAGAAGCUUGCUUUUCUGAUGUUAGCGGCGGACGGGUGAGUAACACGUGGAUAACCUACCUAUAAGACUGGGAUAACUUCGGGAAACCGGAGCUAAUACCGGAUAAUAUUUUGAACCGCAUGGUUCAAAAGUGAAAGACGGUCUUGCUGUCACUUAUAGAUGGAUCCGCGCUGCAUUAGCUAGUUGGUAAGGUAACGGCUUACCAAGGCAACGAUGCAUAGCCGACCUGAGAGGGUGAUCGGCCACACUGGAACUGAGACACGGUCCAGACUCCUACGGGAGGCAGCAGUAGGGAAUCUUCCGCAAUGGGCGAAAGCCUGACGGAGCAACGCCGCGUGAGUGAUGAAGGUCUUCGGAUCGUAAAACUCUGUUAUUAGGGAAGAACAUAUGUGUAAGUAACUGUGCACAUCUUGACGGUACCUAAUCAGAAAGCCACGGCUAACUACGUG